Dendroctonus ponderosae (mountain pine beetle) is the source of this 929-nucleotide long non-coding RNA. RefSeq lists it as uncharacterized. The transcript has 2 exons. NCBI's taxonomy places the organism in Eukaryota, Metazoa, Arthropoda, Insecta, Coleoptera, Curculionidae. The record is from RefSeq and is a predicted model, not a curated record.
UUCAUUGAUUGGAAGGUUACCUAAAAAUACAAGUCUUAAUGAUUUAACACAUCGGGCAGCUUUUCCAUUCCAAUUCCAUUCGACGACUUCAUCAAAGUUAAAACGACGAAGUUUGAUACUCUGACCGGGCAUUUACAUUGAUGUUCAAUUCCUUCCAAUGAUGGUGUUUAAUUUAAUAACUGCUUGCUUCGACAUUAAUUCAAUUGCCCUUACUUUGCACGCAAAGGCUAAGCAGUAGUGACCAGAAACUUUUCUAAGAUUCUCUUUGUAUUGCGUUUUUUGCCCGAUUUCUUUGGCAUUUCAAGACAAGGUGAAAUUCAAAUGGAAAAUUCCCUUAGAAUAUAAUGGUUCCAAAAAUUUCACUGGAAAACAGGAAAUGUUUGAGGGAAACUCGGUGUCACAUCUGACAUUUCAAUAAUCUAACCACCAAAGACUUUGGGUUGAUGGUCAAGAGUGAGUUUCAUUUAGUGACAAGCAUUUGAUAAUGGGAUUUAGAUAAAACUGGGAUGUUAAAUCCAAUACUCGAGAGUUAAUUAUACAGGAAUGCGAGUUGAUGAAUGAAAAUUGGCCUAUGACCCAGUUAAAGCCAUAAUCUAGAAACCAUCAGCAAGAAGCAAAUACACACAAGAUCGGAUUGUUGUUUUUGGGAAAUACUGUCACUUUUUUGCCAAAAUUGACCUAAAUGCGUCUCGAAAAUCCCGUCUGGACGUCCAGCUGCCACCUGCACGGCGCCAGAGAUGGUGAACAGGUGUAAAACUGCACUAGUUUACAAUGUGAUAUGAUUAUUUACCUUUUUCAGGAGGAUAACUGUUCAGUUGUUCGUCCUCUCUCGACACCUGGGCAAUGAUGGACGAUGCGUCCAUUUAAACAUUUGUUAUAAUCCCUUGGAAAUGUAUCACUACUCGUAACUGGAUCGCGCAAACAGGCAC